GUGGGGAAUAUUGGACAAUGGGGGGAACCCUGAUCCAGCCAUGCCGCGUGUGUGAAGAAGGCCUUUUGGUUGUAAAGCACUUUAAGCGAGGAGGAGGCUACCGAGAUUAAUACUCUUGGAUAGUGGACGUUACUCGCAGAAUAAGCACCGGCUAACUCUGUGCCAGCAGCCGCGGUAAUACAGAGGGUGCAAGCGUUAAUCGGAUUUACUGGGCGUAAAGCGCGCGUAGGUGGCCAAUUAAGUCAAAUGUGAAAUCCCCGGGCUUAACUUUGGAAUUGCAUUCGAUACUGGUUGGCUAGAGUAUGGGAGAGGAUGGUAGAAUUCCAGGUGUAGCGGUGAAAUGCGUAGAGAUCUGGAGGAAUACCGAUGGCGAAGGCAGCCAUCUGGCCUAAUACUGACACUGAGGUGCGAAAGCAUGGGGAGCAAACAGGAUUAGAAACCCUAGUAGUCC
This 451-nucleotide ribosomal RNA is filed under the name uncultured bacterium. RNAcentral describes it as "partial 16S ribosomal RNA". It matches the Rfam family "Bacterial small subunit ribosomal RNA", at positions 354 to 796 of the family's 1533-position model. The record is from RNAcentral.